CUGGGAAGGUGGGGCUGCACUUGCACCAACAGUCAUUCUCCUUGCAGACGAGCUCCCCCUCAGAGCUGCAUGUGAUAUAGCUGAGUGCCGCCGCCACAAAGCGCUCACGCAGGAAAUCAGAGAGCCCAAAGUAUGCAUCCUAGUCUCCGUGGACCUGAAAACAUAACUUAGCACGGCAGCACCAGCAGAAGUCCUGUUUGAGAUCCACCUCCUAUCUGAACUGCUCAAGUUUCCUCUCUUGAUGCUGUGCCUGCAGUGGCACUGGAACGGCCCUCCCCACAUAUCCGGUCCACAUGCUGCCUUUCCACACACACCCAUCCAAGUCCUUUCUCUUCACCUCCCCCACUACCUCCCUCCUCCUCGCCAUAACACUUCCCAUUGCUAUAAAAUAAGGGCCCCGAGCAGUGUCUGCAUGAGUGAUGGGCUAUAAAAUUAAAUGGCAUAAACUAUUCCAAAUGAACCACCAGACAUUCCGAACUUCACUCAUCGCUAAUUUCCAGACACAACCCAGCCCAUCUAAGGACAGAGGAGAAGAGGGAUGCUAAUUGCAUUAGGUGGCUCUAAAUAAAGCAGUCUUUUACUCCUUU
Molecule: long non-coding RNA, 587 nt
Organism: Leopardus geoffroyi (Geoffroy's cat)
Lineage: Eukaryota; Metazoa; Chordata; Mammalia; Carnivora; Felidae
Exons: 2
Source: RefSeq, a predicted model, not a curated record